GGAUCAUUAAAGAGUCUAAAAACUCCCAACCCAUGUGGACUUACCUAUUGUUGCCUCGGCAGGUCGCGCCGGGUGUCUCCCCCCGUCAAAAGGGGGUGGCCCGCGCGCGGUUCAGCCUGCCGCCGGCCCACUAAACUCUGUUUUCUACUGAAACUCUGAAUAAAAAACAAAUAAGUUAAAACUUUCAACAACGGAUCUCUUGGUUCUGGCAUCGAUGAAGAACGCAGCGAAAUGCGAUAAGUAAUGUGAAUUGCAGAAUUCAGUGAAUCAUCGAAUCUUUGAACGCACAUUGCGCCCAUUAGUAUUCUAGUGGGCAUGCCUGUUCGAGCGUCAUUUCAACCCUUAAGCCUCGUUGCUUAGUGUUGGGAGCCUACGGUGACGUAGCUCCCCAAAGUCAGUGGCGGGGUCGGUUAGCACUCUUGGCGUAGUAAUUUAAUCUCGCUAAGGACCUGAUCGCCCCUUGCCGUUAAACACCCCACUUUUUAAGGUUGACCUCGGAUCAGGUAGGAAUACCCGCUGAACUUAAGCAUAUCAAUAAGCGGAGGAAAAGAAACCAACAGGGAUUGCCCCAGUAACGGCGAGUGAAGCGGCAACAGCUCAAAUUUGAAAUCUGGCCCCCGGGUCCGAGUUGUAAUUUGUAGAGGAUGCUUUUGGCGCGGUGCCUUCCGAGUUCCCUGGAAUGGGACGCCUUAGAGGGUGAGAGCCCCGUACGGUCGGACACCAAGCCUAUGUAAAGCUCCUUCGACGAGUCGAGUAGUUUGGGAAUGCUGCUCUAAAUGGGAGGUAAAUUUCUUCUAAAGCUAAAUAUUGGCCAGAGACCGAUAGCGCACAAGUAGAGUGAUCGAAAGAUGAAAAGCACUUUGAAAAGAGGGUUAAAUAGCACGUGAAAUUGUUGAAAGGGAAGCGCUUGCGACCAGACCUUUUCCCGGCGGAUCAUCCGGCGUUCUCGCCGGUGCACUUCGCCGGGUCGAGGCCAGCAUCGGUUUCUGCAGGGGGAUAAAAGCUCGGGGAACGUGGCUCCUUCGGGAGUGUUAUAGCCCCUUGCAUAAUACCCU
RNAcentral lists this ribosomal RNA (1055 nucleotides) under Xylariaceae sp. ARIZ AK1595. RNAcentral describes it as "eukaryotic LSU rRNA". The stretch from base 490 to 1055 matches the Rfam family "Eukaryotic large subunit ribosomal RNA", at positions 1 to 577 of the family's 3401-position model. Lineage: Eukaryota; Fungi; Ascomycota; Sordariomycetes; Xylariales; Xylariaceae. The record is from RNAcentral.